GUGUCAGUGGCGUAGUGUUUAACGCACGGUCCCGGUUAGGCGCGAGACGCGGGUUCGAAUCUCGCCUGAAAUG
Non-coding RNA from Nippostrongylus brasiliensis, 73 nucleotides. The record is from Rfam. NCBI's taxonomy places the organism in Eukaryota, Metazoa, Nematoda, Chromadorea, Rhabditida, Heligmosomidae.